GCGCCCGGCGUCGUGUCCCAGCGCGCCCUCCGCCCGACACUUUUCGGCUCAGAUUGAACGCUGGCGGCAUGCCUUACACAUGCAAGUCGAACGGCAGCACGGAGCUUGCUCUGGUGGCGAGUGGCGAACGGGUGAGUAAUAUAUCGGAACGUACCCUAGAGUGGGGGAUAACGUAGCGAAAGUUACGCUAAUACCGCAUACGAUCUAAGGAUGUAAAGUGGGGGAUCGCAAGACCUCAUGCUCGUGGAGCGGCCGAUAUCUGAUUAGCUAGUUGGUAGGGUAAAAAGCCUACCAAGGCAUCGAUCAGUAGCUGGUCUGAGAGGACGACCAGCCACACUGGAACUGAGACACGGUCCAGACUCCUACGGGAGGCAGCAGUGGGGAAUUUUGGACAAUGGGCGAAAGCCUGAUCCAGCAAUGCCGCGUGAGUGAAGAAGGCCUUCGGGUUGUAAAGCUCUUUUGUCAGGGAAGAAACGGUGAGAGCUAAUAUCUCUUGCUAAUGACGGUACCUGAAGAAUAAGCACCGGCUAACUACGUGCCAGCAGCCGCGGUAAUACGUAGGGUGCAAGCGUUAAUCGGAAUUACUGGGCGUAAAGCGUGCGCAGGCGGUUUUGUAAGUCUGAUGUGAAAUCCCCCGGGCUCAACCUGGGAAUUGCAUUGGAGACUGCAAGGCUAGAAUCUGGCAGAGGGGGGUUAGAAUUCCACGUGUAGCAGUGAAAUGCGUAGAUAUGUGGAGGAACACCGAUGGCGAAGGCAGCCCCCUGGGUCAAGAUUGACGCUCAUGCACGAAAGCGUGGGGAGCAAACAGGAUUAGAUACCCUGGUAGUCCACGCCCUAAACGAUGUCUACUAGUUGUCGGGUCUUAAUUGACUUGGUAACGCAGCUAACGCGUGAAUGUAACGGGGCCUGGGGAGUACGGUCGCAAGAUUAAAACUC
This 936-nucleotide ribosomal RNA is filed under the name uncultured bacterium. RNAcentral's name for it is "bacterial SSU rRNA". It matches the Rfam family "Bacterial small subunit ribosomal RNA", at positions 1 to 902 of the family's 1533-position model. The record is from RNAcentral.